Molecule: ribosomal RNA, 446 nt
Filed under: uncultured bacterium
Lineage: Bacteria
Description: partial 16S ribosomal RNA
Rfam family: Bacterial small subunit ribosomal RNA
Source: RNAcentral
CCUACGGGUGGCAGCAGUCGAGAAUCAUUCACAAUGGGGGAAACCCUGAUGGUGCGACGCCGCGUGGGGGAAUGAAGGUCUUCGGAUUGUAAACCCCUGUCAUGUGGGAGCAAAUUAAAAAGAUAGUACCACAAGAGGAAGAGACGGCUAACUCUGUGCCAGCAGCCGCGGUAAUACAGAGGUCUCAAGCGUUGUUCGGAAUCACUGGGCGUAAGGCGUGCGUAGGCUAUUUCGUAAGUCGUGUGUGAAAGGCGCGGGCUCAACCCGCGGACGGCACAUGAUACUGCGAGACUAGAGUAAUGGAGGGGGAACCGGAAUUCUCGGUGUAGCAGUGAAAUGCGUAGAUAUCGAGAGGAACACUCGUGGCGAAGGCGGGUUCCUGGACAUUAACUGACGCUGAGGCACGAAGGCCAGGGGAGCGAAAGGGAUUAGAUACCCGAGUAGUC